This 506-nucleotide ribosomal RNA is filed under the name uncultured bacterium. RNAcentral describes it as "partial 16S ribosomal RNA". It matches the Rfam family "Bacterial small subunit ribosomal RNA", at positions 30 to 523 of the family's 1533-position model. The record is from RNAcentral.
AUUGAACGCUGGCGGCAGGCCUAACACAUGCAAGUCGAACGGUAGCACAGAGAGCUUGCUCUCGGGUGACGAGUGGCGGACGGGUGAGUAAUGCUUAGGAAUCUGCCUAUUAGUGGGGGACAACAUCUCGAAAGGGAUGCUAAUACCGCAUACGUCCUACGGGAGAAAGCAGGGGAUCACUUGUGACCUUGCGCUAAUAGAUGAGCCUAAGUCGGAUUAGCUAGUUGGUGGGGUAAAGGCCUACCAAGGCGACGAUCCGUAGCGGGUCUGAGAGGAUGAUCCGCCACACUGGGACUGAGACACGGCCCAGACUCCUACGGGAGGCAGCAGUGGGGAAUAUUGGACAAUGGGCGAAAGCCUGAUCCAGCCAUGCCGCGUGUGUGAAGAAGGUCUUCGGAUUGUAAAGCACUUUAAGUUGGGAGGAAGGGCAGUAAGUUAAUACCUUGCUGUUUUGACGUUACCGACAGAAUAAGCACCGGCUAACUCUGUGCCAGCCGCCGCGGUAA